This 492-nucleotide ribosomal RNA is filed under the name uncultured bacterium. Its description in RNAcentral is "partial 16S ribosomal RNA". It matches the Rfam family "Bacterial small subunit ribosomal RNA", at positions 29 to 507 of the family's 1533-position model. The record is from RNAcentral.
AGUGAACGCUGGCGGUAGGCCUAACACAUGCCAGUCGAACGGCAGCACAGUAAGAUCUUGCUCUUACGGGUGGCGAGUGGCGGACGGGUGAGGAAUACAUCGGAAUCUACUUUUUCGUGGGGGAUAACGUAGGGAAACUUACGCUACUACCGCAUACGUCCUACGGCUGAAAGCAGGGGAUCUUCGGACCUUUCGCGAUUGAAUGAGCCGAUGUCGGAUUAGCUAGUUGGCGGGGUAAAGGCCCACCAAGGCGACGAUCCGUAGCUGGUCUGAGAGGAUGAUCAGCCACACUGGAACUGAGACACGGUCCAGACUCCUACGGGAGGCAGCAGUAGGGAAUAUUGGACAAUGGGCGCAAGCCUGAUCCAGCCAUACCGCGUGGGUGAAGAAGGCCUUCGGGUUGUAAAGCCCUUUUGUUGGGAAAGAAAAGCAGCAGGUUAAUACCCCGCUGUUCUGACGGUACCCAAAGAAUAAGCACCGGCUAACUUCGUG